RNAcentral lists this ribosomal RNA (500 nucleotides) under uncultured bacterium. RNAcentral describes it as "partial 16S ribosomal RNA". It matches the Rfam family "Bacterial small subunit ribosomal RNA", at positions 30 to 523 of the family's 1533-position model. The record is from RNAcentral.
AUUGAACGCUGGCGGCAUGCCUUACACAUGCAAGUCGAACGGCAGCACGGGAGCAAUCCUGGUGGCGAGUGGCGAACGGGUGAGUAAUAUAUCGGAACGUGCCCAGUCGUGGGGGAUAACGCAGCGAAAGCUACGCUAAUACCGCAUACGAUCUACGGAUGAAAGCGGGGGAUCGCAAGACCUCGCGCGAUUGGAGCGGCCGAUAUCAGAUUAGGUUGUUGGUGAGGUAAAAGCUCACCAAGCCUGCGAUCUGUAGCUGGUCUGAGAGGACGACCAGCCACACUGGAACUGAGACACGGUCCAGACUCCUACGGGAGGCAGCAGUGGGGAAUUUUGGACAAUGGACGCAAGUCUGAUCCAGCAAUGCCGCGUGCAGGACGAAGGCCUUCGGGUUGUAAACUGCUUUUGUACGGAACGAAACGGUGAGCUCUAAUACAGUUUGCUAAUGACGGUACCGUAAGAAUAAGCACCGGCUAACUACGUGCCAGCCGCCGCCGUAA